AGUAGGGCAUUCCUUGUAUGUGCUGUCUGAAGUCUCCUCAUUGCUCGAUCCAGACUUUUUAUUUCUCACCAGAAGAAAAUGAUGAAGAAUGUUGAAUGGAACAGUUCCUAUCUUGGUGCUUGACUCUGUUUCAAAUUUAAAGAAAAAAAGCAUUUCAACAGGACAUGGAUACGAGUGCUUCAAGAAUUGAGAUGUGUGCCUGAGGUUUCUUUUAGCCACUAGGUAUGAAACAGCUGAUCAAGGGCCAUGAUAUUCCAGACUACAUGGGAAUAUGGAAGAAGGAUCAAAGCCUCGAGAGAAGCCUCUAUUGCAACUUACACUGAAAGACAAGGCAGAAUGGAGUAAGUGGGCAGGAUGGAUAUUUACAUCAUUUUGGUGAUACUUUCACUGGGAGGAUUUGGGCCUGGAAAACACAGCUUGCUGGGCAGACUGAGGCUGUCAGGACUGGAUUGUUUCUACAUGGUUCCGAGGGAAUUCCUUGCUAUUCCCCCUCUCUGUGGAGGUGGUUGGGCAGCAUCUCCAAAUUACCAAAACUCUCUAAGAUGUCAAAUCUUCUCAGAACACAGAAAAAAAAUGCAAUGAGAACAGGGACACAAGCUAUUUGCAAAGAUGGCUGAGAGGGCACAGCUUGUCCUCUUGCUGAGUGCUUCUCUAAAUCAGUUAAUAAACUGUCA
Mesocricetus auratus (golden hamster) is the source of this 674-nucleotide long non-coding RNA. RefSeq lists it as uncharacterized. The record is from RefSeq and is a predicted model, not a curated record. The transcript is spliced from 3 exons. NCBI's taxonomy places the organism in Eukaryota, Metazoa, Chordata, Mammalia, Rodentia, Cricetidae.